RNAcentral lists this ribosomal RNA (929 nucleotides) under Chloropicon mariensis. RNAcentral's name for it is "partial Bacterial large subunit ribosomal RNA". It matches the Rfam family "Bacterial large subunit ribosomal RNA", at positions 670 to 1666 of the family's 2925-position model. Lineage: Eukaryota; Viridiplantae; Chlorophyta; Chloropicophyceae; Chloropicales; Chloropicaceae. The record is from RNAcentral.
AGGGAAACCGAGUCUUAAUAGGGCGACUAGUUGCAUGCCGUAGACCCGAAACCGGGUGACCUAUCCAUGGCCAGGUUGAAGCGAGGGUAAAACCUCGUGGAGGACCGAACCACGUUGCUGUUGAAAAAGCAUGGGAUGAGCUGUGGAUAGCGGAGAAAUUCCAAUCGAACUCGGAGAUAGCUGGUUCUCCCCGAAAUAGCUUUAGGGCUAGCGUCGGAUAUGUGUAGUGGAGGUAGAGCACUGAAUGGGCUAGGGGGCAUAUCGCUUACCGAACCUUAUCAAACUCCGAAUGCCAUAUACAUUUAGUCCGGCAGUCAGACUACGAAUGAUAAGAUCCGUGGUCAAAAGGGAAACAGCCCAGAUCGUCAGCUAAGGUCCCAAAGUGUAAGUUAAGUGGAAAAGGAUGUGGGAUUUCUAAGACAACUAGGAUGUUGGCUUAGAAGCAGCCAUCAUUUAAAGAGUGCGUAAUAGCUCACUAGUCGAGUGAUUCUGCGCCGAAAAUGUACCGGGGCUAAACACACCACCGAAACUACGGGUGCCACGUAAGUGGCGCGAUAGGAGAGCGUUCUAAGGGCGAUGAAGUCAGACCGUGAGGACUGGUGGAGCGCUUAGAAGUGAGAAUGCCGGUAUGAGUAGCGAAAGACAGGUGAGAAUCCUGUCCACCGUAUGACUAAGGUUUCCUGGGGAAGGCUCGUCCUCCCAGGGUUAGUCGGGACCUAAGGCGAGGCCGUAAGGCGUAGUCGAUGGACAGCAGUUCAAUAUUCCUGCACCGGCUUGGGGUUAGUUGACCGUGACGCGGUGAGAAAGGUGGCUAAGUCAUCGAAAGACAGAGCCUAGACUUCGGUCGAAGCGUACCACUGGACGAUCCGCCGAGAAAAGCGAGUUAACAUGUGCCCCAGGUCGCCCGUACCGUAAACCGACACAGGUGG